Molecule: non-coding RNA, 28 nt
Filed under: Rattus norvegicus (Norway rat)
Lineage: Eukaryota; Metazoa; Chordata; Mammalia; Rodentia; Muridae
Source: RNAcentral
UGAGCCUAGGGCAGUGCCUUGUCAGGUU